AGAGUUUGAUCAUGGCUCAGAACGAACGCUGGCGGAAUGCUUUACACAUGCAAGUCGAACGAGUACUUUUUACGAGUGGCGAACGGGUGAGUAACGCGUGGGAACCUACCUUGAGGUAAAGAAUAACUGCAGGAAACUGUAGCUAAUGCUUUAUGUGCCCUAAGGGGGAAAAAUUUAUUGCCUUUUGAGGGGCCCGCGUCAGAUUAGCUUGUUGGUGAGGUAAUGGCUUACCAAGGCUAUGAUCUGUAGCUGGUUUGAGAGGAUGAUCAGCCACAUUGGGACUGAGACACGGCCCAGACUCCUACGGGAGGCAGCAGUGGGGAAUCUUGGACAAUGGGGGAAACCCUGAUCCAGCAAUUCCGCGUGAAUGAUGAAGGCCUUAGGGUUGUAAAGUUCUUUUAGUAAGGAAGAUGAUGACGGUACUUACAGAAAAAGCUCCGGCUAACUCCGUGCCAGCAGCCGCGGUAAUACGGGGGGGGCGAGCGUUGUUCGGAAUUACUGGGCGUAAAGAGCGAGCAGGUGGUUCAUUAAGUCAAUUGUGAAAGCUCAAGGCUUAACCUUGAAAUUGCUUUUGAUACUGAUGGACUAGAGUUUGGGAGAGGAUAGUGGAAUUCUAAGUGUAGAAGUGAAAUUCGUAGAUAUUUAGAGGAACACCGAUAGCGAAGGCAACUAUCUGGCCCUUUACUGACACUCAGAAGCGAAAGCUUGGGUAGCAAACAGGAUUAGAUACCCUGGUAGUCCAUGCUGUAAACGAUGAGUGCUAGAUGUUAGAAGUUUUACUUUUAGUAUCGAAGCUAACGCGUUAAGCACUCCGCCUGGGGAGUACGGCCGCA
This 833-nucleotide ribosomal RNA is filed under the name marine metagenome. RNAcentral's name for it is "bacterial SSU rRNA". It matches the Rfam family "Bacterial small subunit ribosomal RNA", at positions 8 to 890 of the family's 1533-position model. The record is from RNAcentral.